Long non-coding RNA from Anastrepha ludens (Mexican fruit fly), 529 nucleotides. RefSeq lists it as uncharacterized. The record is from RefSeq and is a predicted model, not a curated record. Lineage: Eukaryota; Metazoa; Arthropoda; Insecta; Diptera; Tephritidae. The transcript is spliced from 3 exons.
GCCCGGAGAAUCCGAUAUGUCAACGCGAAGUAUCCAGGAUUCAAAUGUUUUCAACAUGUCUCAGUUGAAGCAACAUCUAGAAGAUGAGCACCGUAGGGGCGAAGGAAAAAUGUUGUUAGGUGAUGCAGGAUAUGCUUUACAACCGUAUAUGCUUUGAAGAAGUUUUUCCGCAAAUUCCCUUUUCAAUAUCUUCGUUUUCCUGCAUUAACUGCACCAAUAUUCCAAGUUGCCUUUUGUUGCUUAUAACUUUCGAUCUGAAAUUCAGAUAAUGAAUAGCGAUCAAAAAUCAUUCACAGUCGAUGGCUGAGCGAGAAAUCGACAUUCAUAAUACCAUAGGUAGUCGAUAAUCGAACAAUAAUCGUUUAUUUACUACUAGUCGACACUCGCAACAGGGGUGAUAACCUUUUAAAAAGGGUCCUCGAGCAGGACAAAAAGGCCAGUCCCGGGUGCCUAAAAAAAGGUGCCCAACGGAGGGUUAAAUGCGGCGCACAUUGCAACCAAUGCAAUUAACUCAAAAACUUGUUUUUUU